UUUGCUUCUCGGCCUUUUGGCUAAGAUAAAGUGUAGUAUCUGUUCUUAUCAGUUUAAUCUUAUCUGAUACGCCCUGGGGACCAUAUAGUGAAUGGAUUUUUGAGAACAGGGACUGAUUUUGAAGCUUUCUUCUGUGGCCCUUUGCAUUGACCUGAUAGGGCAGUAUCUUUGGGUACAGUGCACCAAAG
Small nuclear RNA from Hyla sarda, 188 nucleotides. RefSeq annotates it as U2 spliceosomal RNA. Lineage: Eukaryota; Metazoa; Chordata; Amphibia; Anura; Hylidae. The record is from RefSeq and is a predicted model, not a curated record. The transcript has a single exon.